GACGAACGCUGGCGGCGUGCUUAACACAUGCAAGUCGAGCGGUAAGGCCCUUUCGGGGGUACACGAGCGGCGAACGGGUGAGUAACACGUGGGUGACCUGCCCUUAGCUCUGGGAUAAGCCUGGGAAACUGGGUCUAAUACCGGAUAUGACUCCAUGACGCAUGUUGUGGGGUGGAAAGCCUUGUGCGGCUAGGGAUGGGCCCACGGCCUAUCAGCUUGUUGGUGGGGUGAUGGCCUACCAAGGCGACGACGGGUAGCCGGCCUGAGAGGGCGACCGGCCACACUGGGACUGAGACACGGCCCAGACUCCUACGGGAGGCAGCAGUGGGGAAUCUUGCGCAAUGGGCGAAAGCCUGACGCAGCGACGCCGCGUGGGGAUGACGGCC
RNAcentral lists this ribosomal RNA (386 nucleotides) under uncultured bacterium. Its description in RNAcentral is "bacterial SSU rRNA". It matches the Rfam family "Bacterial small subunit ribosomal RNA", at positions 28 to 416 of the family's 1533-position model. The record is from RNAcentral.